This 348-nucleotide unclassified non-coding RNA is filed under the name soil metagenome. Its description in RNAcentral is "partial contains 5.8S ribosomal RNA, internal transcribed spacer 2, and large subunit ribosomal RNA". The stretch from base 1 to 120 matches the Rfam family "5.8S ribosomal RNA", at positions 35 to 154 of the family's 154-position model. The record is from RNAcentral.
GAUGAAGAACGUAGCGAAAUGCGAUAAGUAAUGUGAAUUGCAGAAUUCAGUGAAUCAUCGAAUCUUUGAACGCACAUUGCGCCCGCUAGUAUUCUGGCGGGCAUGCCUGUCCGAGCGUCAUUUCAACCCUCAUGCCCCUAGGGCGUGGUGUUGGGGAUCGGCCAAAGCCCGCGAGGGACGGCCGGCCCCUAAAUCUAGUGGCGGACCCGUCGUGGCCUCCUCUGCGAAGUAGUGAUAUUCCGCAUCGGAGAGCGAUGAGCCCCUGCCGUUAAACCCCCAACUUUCCAAGGUUGACCUCAGAUCAGGUAGGAAUACCCGCUGAACUUAAGCAUAUCAAUAAGCGGAGGA